GACGAACCGUGCGAACGUUAUUCGGAAUCACUGGGCUUAAAGCGUGUGUAGGCGGGCGGGCAAGUACCUUGUGAAAUCCCACGGCUCAACCGUGGAACGGCUGGGUAUACUGCCUGUCUUUGAGCCAACUAGGGGCGAGCGGAACAGACGGUGGAGCGGUGAAAUGCGUAGAUAUCGUCUGGAACGCCGAAGGUGAAAACAGCUCGCUGGGGUUGUGCUGACGCUGAGACACGAAAGCCAGGGGAGCGAACGGG
This 254-nucleotide ribosomal RNA is filed under the name uncultured bacterium. RNAcentral describes it as "partial 16S ribosomal RNA". It matches the Rfam family "Bacterial small subunit ribosomal RNA", at positions 524 to 776 of the family's 1533-position model. The record is from RNAcentral.